UGUUUGUGUUGUUAGUAUGAGUUGGAAUAUCUACGUGUAAGUAGAAGAUCAAGCUUGCCCAUUUGAUUUCACACAUUUCAUUUCUACCAUAAUCAUGUCAUGACAUCUGAAAAAUGGUUUUGUUUUAGUUCCUGCAAAUCCGAAGUACCUCACCUGACAGCGGCCUUGGCACUGACAACUACAGCCCGGCAUCUCCGAGCCAAAGCUUUUACUACGAAGAUCCCGAGUUUGUCCAGAGGGGUCGGGCGAAUUCUCCAAGCCUGAGCUUGUACCAAGACUGAUGCAGAGCUGUACCGACCAACUUCCCCUCACGAAAGUGUGCACGAAG
Alosa sapidissima (American shad) is the source of this 328-nucleotide long non-coding RNA. RefSeq lists it as uncharacterized. The record is from RefSeq and is a predicted model, not a curated record. The transcript is spliced from 3 exons. NCBI's taxonomy places the organism in Eukaryota, Metazoa, Chordata, Actinopteri, Clupeiformes, Clupeidae.